UACGGAGGGGGCAAGCGUUGUUCGGAAUUACUGGGCGUAAAGGGCGCGCAGGCGGCUGCUCAAGUCAGGCGUGAAAGGCCUGGGCUCAACCCGGGAAUUGCGCUUGAGACUGGGCUGGCUUGAGUGCGGGAGAGGAUGGUGGAAUUCCCAGUGUAGAGGUGAAAUUCGUAGAUAUUGGGAAGAACACCGGUGGCGAAGGCGGCCAUCUGGACCGCAACUGACGCUGAGGCGCGAAAGCGUGGGGAGCAAACAGGAUUAGAUACCCUGGUAGUCCACGCCGUAAACGAUGAGUGCUAGACGUUGGGAGGCCUAGCCUUCCGGUGUCGCAGCUAACGCAUUAAGCACUCCGCCUGGGGAGUACGGCCGCAAGGUUAAA
RNAcentral lists this ribosomal RNA (376 nucleotides) under uncultured bacterium. RNAcentral describes it as "bacterial SSU rRNA". It matches the Rfam family "Bacterial small subunit ribosomal RNA", at positions 524 to 898 of the family's 1533-position model. The record is from RNAcentral.